CAUGCAGUCGAGCGGAUGAGAGGAGCUUGCUCUUCGAUUCAGCGGCGGACGGGUGAGUAAUGCCUAGGAAUCUGCCUAGUAGUGGGGGACAACGUUUCGAAAGGAACGCUAAUACCGCAUACGUCCUACGGGAGAAAGUGGGGGAUCUUCGGACCUCACGCUAUUAGAUGAGCCUAGGUCGGAUUAGCUAGUUGGUAGGGUAAAGGCCUACCAAGGCGACGAUCCGUAACUGGUCUGAGAGGAUGAUCAGUCACACUGGAACUGAGACACGGUCCAGACUCCUACGGGAGGCAGCAGUGGGGAAUAUUGGACAAUGGGCGAAAGCCUGAUCCAGCCAUGCCGCGUGUGUGAAGAAGGCCUUCGGGUCGUAAAGCACUUUAAGUUGGGAGGAAGGGCUCAUAGCGAAUACCUGUGAGUUUUGACGUUACCAACAGAAUAAGCACCGGCUAACUUCGUGCCAGCAGCCGCGGUAAUACGAAGGGUGCAAGCGUUAAUCGGAAUUACUGGGCGUAAAGCGCGCGUAGGUGGCUUGAUAAGUUGGAUGUGAAAUCCCCGGGCUCAACCUGGGAACUGCAUCCAAAACUGUCUGGCUAGAGUGCGGUAGAGGGUAGUGGAAUUUCCAGUGUAGCGGUGAAAUGCGUAGAUAUUGGAAGGAACACCAGUGGCGAAGGCGACUACCUGGACUGACACUGACACUGAGGUGCGAAAGCGUGUGGAGCACACAGGAUUAGAUACCCUGGUAGUCCACGCCGUAAACGAUGUCAACUAGCCGUUGGGAUCCUUGAGAUCUUAGUGGCGCAGCUAACGCAUUAAGUUGACCGCCUGGCGAGUACGGCCGCAAGGUUAAAACUCAUAUGAAUUGACGGGGGCCCGCACAAGCGGUGGAGCAUGUGGUUUAAUUCGAAGCAACGCGAAGAACCUUACCUGGCCUUGACAUGCUGAGAACUUUCCAGAGAUGGAUUGGUGCCUUCGGGAACUCAGACACAGGUGCUGCAUGGCUGUCGUCAGCUC
This 1011-nucleotide ribosomal RNA is filed under the name Pseudomonas sp. RNAcentral's name for it is "bacterial SSU rRNA". It matches the Rfam family "Bacterial small subunit ribosomal RNA", at positions 54 to 1061 of the family's 1533-position model. The record is from RNAcentral. Lineage: Bacteria; Pseudomonadati; Pseudomonadota; Gammaproteobacteria; Pseudomonadales; Pseudomonadaceae.